RNAcentral lists this small nuclear RNA (276 nucleotides) under Mustela putorius furo (domestic ferret). RNAcentral's name for it is "7SK RNA (ENSMPUG00000022177.1)". It matches the Rfam family "7SK RNA". Rfam says of the family: 7SK was discovered as an abundant small nuclear RNA in the mid-70s but a possible function has only recently been suggested. Lineage: Eukaryota; Metazoa; Chordata; Mammalia; Carnivora; Mustelidae. The record is from RNAcentral.
GGAGGUGGGGCUCGAUCCCAGGACCCCGAGAUCAUGACCCAAGCCGAAGGCAGAGGCUUAACCCACUGAGCCACCCAGGUCCCUCCCGAAGCUGUACGCUCAGUCGAAGAGGACGACCUUCCCUGAUAGAGGAGAGGACCGUUCUUCGGUCAAGGGUAUACGAGUAGCUACGCUCCCCUGUUAGAACCUCCAAACAAGCUCUCAAUUGUAUUUUUUUUUAACUUAAGAUUUUAUUUAUUUAUUUGACAGAGACACAGCAAGAGAAGGAACACAAGC